AGCGAACGUUUGCGGCGGGCCUAACACAUGCAAGUCGAACGGGCUAGCAAUAGUCAGUGGCGCACGGGUGCGUAACACGUGGGUAAUCAACCCUUCAGCCUGGGAUAACGAUCUGAAAGGAUCGCUAAUACCGGAUGCGAUGCGGGAGUCCUCGGACUUCCGCAGGAAAGCUCCGCAAGGGGCACUGAAGGACGAGCCUGCGGCCCAUCAGCUAGUUGGUGAGGUAAAAGCUCACCAAGGCGAAGACGGGUAGCUGGUCUGAGAGGAUGAUCAGCCACACUGGAACUGAGACACGGUCCAGACUCCUACGGGAGGCAGCAGUGGGGAAUAUUGCGCAAUGGGCGAAAGCCUGACGCAGCCACGCCGCGUGAGCGAUGAAGGCCUUCGGGUCGUAAAGCUCUGUGGGGAGAGAAGAAUAAAGCCUGUGAAGAGCAGGCCUUGACGGUAUCUCCUUAGCAAGCACCGGCUAACUCCGUGCCAGCAGCCGCGGUAAUACGGAGGGUGCGAACGUUGCUCGGAAUCAUUGGGCGUAAAGCGCACGUAGGCUGCGAGGAAAAGUUGGGUGUGAAAGCCCUGGGCUCAACCAGGAAGUGCAUUCAAAACUACCUUGCUUGAAUCUCGGA
This 623-nucleotide ribosomal RNA is filed under the name uncultured bacterium. RNAcentral's name for it is "bacterial SSU rRNA". It matches the Rfam family "Bacterial small subunit ribosomal RNA", at positions 28 to 653 of the family's 1533-position model. The record is from RNAcentral.